RNAcentral lists this ribosomal RNA (458 nucleotides) under uncultured bacterium. RNAcentral describes it as "partial 16S ribosomal RNA". It matches the Rfam family "Bacterial small subunit ribosomal RNA", at positions 338 to 795 of the family's 1533-position model. The record is from RNAcentral.
CCUACGGGUGGCAGCAGUGAGGAAUAUUGGUCAAUGGGCGAGAGCCUGAACCAGCCAAGUCGCGUGAGGGAGUACUGCCCUAUGGGUUGUAAACCUCUUUUGUCGGGGAGCAAAAGCCGGACGUGUCCGGCUGUGAGAGUACCCGAAGAAAAAGCAUCGGCUAACUCCGUGCCAGCAGCCGCGGUAAUACGGGGGAUGCGAGCGUUAUCCGGUUUUAUUGGGUUUAAAGGGUGCGCAGGCGGAUUUUUAAGUCAGCGGUAAAAUCGUGGGGCUCAACCCCAUCCAGCCGUUGACACUGGGGAUCUAGAGUGUGCGAGAGGUAUGCGGAAUGCGUGGUGUAGCGGUGAAAUGCAUAGAUAUCACGCAGAACCCCGAUUGCGAAGGCAGCAUACCGGUGCACAACUGACGCUCAGGCACGAAAGCGUGGGUAUCGAACAGGAUUAGAUACCCCAGUAGUC